GUACUGCUGAGGAGUCCCACAAUAGGACGAAACACACGUUCAGUGC
Molecule: non-coding RNA, 46 nt
Filed under: Schistosoma margrebowiei
Lineage: Eukaryota; Metazoa; Platyhelminthes; Trematoda; Strigeidida; Schistosomatidae
Source: RNAcentral